Molecule: long non-coding RNA, 1740 nt
Organism: Magallana angulata
Lineage: Eukaryota; Metazoa; Mollusca; Bivalvia; Ostreida; Ostreidae
Exons: 6
Source: RefSeq, a predicted model, not a curated record
GAACAAAAUAUGCAGUGUUACUGGGGUCUAGCUCUUCUUUUUGGAUUUCUUCCUGUAAUCUGCUCUGCCAGUUACGCAAGAUUCAGUACCUUUCAUGGUUGGGCCCCAUGGGGAUCUUGGAGUCAAUGCUCUACAACCUCUGGUUAUGGCGUUCAGACAAGACACAGGAACUGUCACUCUUUUUCUGCCUGUCCUGUUGGCGGAGAUGAAUCAAAAAUAUGUGUGACGGCAGUACACGGAGGAUGGAGUUCCUGGACCACCUAUUCUUGUAGCACGUCUUGUGGUGGCGGACAAGCUCUGAGAUUACGAUCUUGUACGAACCCUGUUCCAGUGUUUGGGGGAUCCCAAUGCAGAGGACAACCUAUAGAAUUCGUAUCAUGCAAUACUCAUCCUUGCCAUAGCAGCUACGCAACAACAAGUAACUUCAAAGGUUGGGCAUCAUGGACAUCUUGGAGUCAUUGCUCGUCUACUUCUGGCAUUGGUUCUCGAACAAGACACAGAAAUUGCAUUUCUUCCCAUGCCUGUCCUGUUGGAGGAGAUGAAGCAAAGCCAUGUAUAAUAGCAGUGCAUGGAGGAUGGAGUUCGUGGACAACAUAUUCUUGUACUAAGUCUUGUGGAGGCGGACACGCUUUUAGGCUAUGAUCUUGUACGAACCCUGUUCCAUUGUUUGGAGGAUCUGAUUGCCAAGGACAGAUUUAUGAAUACUUACCAUGUAAUACUCACCCUUGUUAUGGUCCUACGGCGUCGACGACUCUACCAACUACAACCAGAGUAACACCAAGUACAACUACAACACCACCAACUACUACCAAUCCAAACACCAAACAAUCACCAACAACAAGUACUGCACCACCAACUACCACUACCACACCAACAACUACCACUACUGCACCACCUACUACCACUACGUUACCAACAACUACCACUACCACAACAACAACUACCACUACCACACCAACAACUACUAUCACGACACAACCAACAACCACUAAACCACAAUUAACAACAACAAAGUCGACACCAACUACAACGAAAACAAGAUUUUUUACAAUACGUGCUUUAAUGACGUAAUGAUAAUGGAUUAACUUUGUUAUGAUACUGUCUUACCAUCAGUGUAAUCGAUAUCUUCAUUUUGCUUACGUACAGCUGUAAUAGUACGCUUAGUAAUACGUUAGAAAAGGGUUAGGCUUAGCACAAGGUAUACAUAUGUCUAAGCUACAAAUUUUCUCAGAGUCUGUAGUUAUAAGUAAGCCUAGUAAUACUAAUGUUUCAUCACUACAUUUUUGAAUUUUUUUUUACAUUUGCUUUGACAUUUUUAAUCAUAAUUCCAUAAAAAUUGUUUUGUAGGAAAACAGGUUUAUUAUUUACAAAAGAGAGAAUUCUACUGUACCGUAAAUUGCAAGAUUUUUUGUUAAAGAAACGGAAGCUUAAAUACUUGUCCACCAUAUUCUCAAGUCCUAUAAAGUUUAGUUUCAUGUUAGAAUGUAUAAGGUAAAAUCAAAAUAGAGGUUAUAUGCAAUUUUGACGUUUUUAAAGGGUUAAGAUAGAACAAAAAACGUUGUAAUGCUUCAAAUGCUUCGACGGCUUUUCGCUGAACAAGAAUUGAUAUUUCGUAAUGCAUACUUCUAUAGUCGUUACUGCUUAUAAAAAGUUUAAAUAUUGAAUUGAAGUUUUGAAAAGUAAAUGUGUUUAUAUACUUGCGUUUUGAGUUGUUUAUAUUAUUAAAUUAUUCUAUUCUUG